UACGAAGGGGGCUAGCGUUGCUCGGAAUCACUGGGCGUAAAGCGCACGUAGGCGGCUUUCUAAGUCAGGGGUGAAAUCCUGGAGCUCAACUCCAGAACUGCCUUUGAUACUGGAGAGCUUGAGUCCGGGAGAGGUGAGUGGAACUCCGAGUGUAGAGGUGAAAUUCGUAGAUAUUCGGAGGAACACCAGAGGCGAAGGCGGCUACCUGGACAAUUGCUGACGCUCAGGCACGAAAGCGUGGGGAGCAAAAGGG
Molecule: ribosomal RNA, 253 nt
Filed under: uncultured bacterium
Lineage: Bacteria
Description: partial 16S ribosomal RNA
Rfam family: Bacterial small subunit ribosomal RNA
Source: RNAcentral